ACCUAGACAACAGUUAUCAAACACGACAGUCUCCAAUAAAGUCCACGAAGCUCACAAGGACUUUGGGCCACUUCAACAUGCCAGAAUUGACCGUAGACUCCCUCUGUUGGCCCAAGAUCAUGAUACUUUCAGCCAGCCAGCUCUGCUGAAGGAGCUAAAACUGGACCCUUAACUGAGUGUCCUGGGCCCCAAACCCUGCCUAGAUGGAACCUCUCCCUCAACAGCCUUGCACAGGCACCUUUGCCCUCGCAGUGAGGCCACUGGCUGACUCCUCCCCACACCUGAACCUCCAGCCCUCUCUCUCUACUAUGUCAUCUCUUCCCACCCUCUAUAACACUGAGUGGAGACUUAUUGGAGUAACUCUGCCAGGAAAUGGGCCUAAAGGCAUGAAGUAGCCAAGGGUGUGCCUCAGGCUCUAUGGGACAGGAGCAGGGAAGGAGCUAACAUCAGCCCCCAGGCUGGGAAGACAAGGAAAGGUCACCUUUAUUAAAGGCCUUGUACCUUGAUACAUUUUGACUCACUAUUCCAUUGAGUUUGGACAUUUAGGUUAUUUCCAAUUCUUUACUAUUUGGAGGAGCAUUGCGAUGAACAGUGAAUUCGUCAAAGGGUCUUGCUGUUGAUGCUCUGUCAUGUCUCUGUUCAGCAGUGGCCAGAUGUGUGCUGAGAGGUAAGGCAGGAACUGGAACAAUUUACUUGAGUCCUGCCAGAUAAUAUCUGCACAUCAUCACACUUGGGCCCCGGAGUUAGAGGACCUUUACCAUUCAAAGAGGAG
This 772-nucleotide long non-coding RNA is filed under the name Homo sapiens (human). RNAcentral describes it as "HSALNT0130482". Lineage: Eukaryota; Metazoa; Chordata; Mammalia; Primates; Hominidae. The record is from RNAcentral.